Molecule: long non-coding RNA, 1644 nt
Filed under: Ailuropoda melanoleuca (giant panda)
Lineage: Eukaryota; Metazoa; Chordata; Mammalia; Carnivora; Ursidae
Description: lncRNA (ENSAMEG00000027245.1)
Source: RNAcentral
GCACAUCUCACCAAAUACAUGGGUAUAGCCAUUCUAGGAAAAUUCCUUUUAAUUCUUCUGAUUGGAAGCUUUAUAAUUUGGCUAUCCCAAGAAGAAGCUGCAAUUCUCAUAUUUCAGGCAUCACUCGCUUAAGAAAAAGGCAAGUUGCAUGCCAGUGAUGGGCAUGGAGAGCUAAGGCAGCGGCCUUCCUGGACAAAGAAUGCAGGCGAAGACCCUGUGCAUAGAGACCAUGGUUUGCCAGUUUUCUGUGUCUUCGGGCAUCCUGCCCAAGCAACUUCUGAAUAUGCUUUACAAGGGUUGUGUCCAUGUCUCCAGCCUCACUUUGUGCCAACUGCUUUCAGAAGUCAAGCCCCUCUGGACCCAGUUUUUCUCAAGGAAGACUCUUCCAAAAUGCACAAGCUUCAGGCCCCACCCAAUCUGGAUCUGCCCUGGCUGCUGGGACCAGGAAGCUGUCCAGCUUGGACGCAGGGCCAGAAGAUCAGUGUUUAGACCACGGGAACUCAGGAUUCCUGGAACCCCAGACCACAGAGGCCCAUGCUGCUGCAGUGGCACUUGAGCUCCUGGGAGUGGGGCCCAGAGCAGAAUGAUGAGGGAACCAAGGCUCAGGACCACUCAGCUGGGAAGGGCCAGUGCUGUGCUAAGAAGGCAGGGAGGCUCCGUCUCGCCUCCCUCCGCAGCAGGGUCUCAACACAGGCCUCUGGAGGGCAGAGGACGGAGGGCUGCCAGCGCGCUAAGUGCCCGGGGUCUCACCUCAGGAUGGGUUUGCAGCCCCUGGGCCGGAGGAGGUGAGGAGCCUGGCUGCUGGCUUCUGGGGGAAGCAGAUGUAGGGGGGCAGGGGGCAGGGCGCAGGUGAGAGGCAGAGGUGACCACGCUGAGCCUCGGCACCAGCACCGCAGGAUGGCUCAGUGGGGCCCAGCACGUUCAAGGCACCAGGUGUAUGUGUGUUUCCUCACUAGCAAAGCAAGUGACAAAAUGAGCCCCCUAGUUUUUCUCUUCUCUCUGACCCGAAUGCUCCCCUGCCCCUCGUGUCAUCAGCAUGGUAGUGACCCUGGGUGUCUGUGAUGAGACCGGAGUUAUUACGUGCAGCUAAACCAUUCCAGAUUUUGUUUUCCACACCUCAAGCCCCAGGAAGCUUUCCUCCACAGAAAACACUGAAAACGAAUUUAGUUAACUCUGGACAGCUGCUAGAAAUCCAGGAGCCCUGUCUCAUCUCUGACCAGCAUUUUGGGACUUACCUGACCAUCUUGGGAAAAUGAACUCCAUGACCAAGUUGUAGACUUCUCUAGCAUUUUACCACAGAGGAUAUCCUUUGGUUAAUUUGGGCAAAUAUAAGUUUAUUUUUUCAAACUCAAAGCAAAAUGAGUUGGGCUGUCCAGCAAAUGCAGUUUGGACUAACACCUAAGCACAUGAAUACAUUUUUCUCUUAGGUCUUAAAAGCUUUUUGAUGGCAAAUCCUGAGUUUGGUUUUAAAAAGCGUGAUUAGGGGCGCCUGGGUGGCACAGCGGUUAAGUGUCUGCCUUCGGCUCAGGGCGUGAUCCCAGCGUUAUGGGAUCGAGCCCCGCAUCAGGCUCUCUUGCUAUGAGCCUGCUUCUUCCUCUCCCACUCCCCCUGCUUGUGUUCCCUCUCUCACUGGCUGUCUCUCUC